UAAAAAAAAUACGGUUCUCAUUGAACAGUUACUUUAUGAUAUACUGUCUCCGCCCAUCAGUCUCUCACUCCCUCCAUCAGUCCCUCUCCCUCCAUCUCUCUCCCUAUCCCUGCUUUGUUUCAGACCUCUGGUGAGAUCACUGCCAAGCCAGCAGGUGUUUCAGAAUGUUAUGAGUAGACAUGACGUUCUCUUUGUCUACGUUGGUGGGCCGUCGGACUUGAAGGAGAAGUACAUAUCUGUAGCCAAGGGAAUGAUUGUUCAUACUUACUUCUUCUCUGCCGCAAGGAACAUUUUACCCAAGACGGUUACUCUCGAGGAAUACCCGGCUGUGGCAGUGUUCAAGGAUGGCACUUACUUCCUUUAUGAUG
This is a non-coding RNA of Salvelinus sp. IW2-2015, 368 nucleotides long. NCBI's taxonomy places the organism in Eukaryota, Metazoa, Chordata, Actinopteri, Salmoniformes, Salmonidae. The record is from RefSeq and is a predicted model, not a curated record.